RNAcentral lists this long non-coding RNA (957 nucleotides) under Callithrix jacchus (white-tufted-ear marmoset). RNAcentral describes it as "lncRNA (ENSCJAG00000067501.2)". The record is from RNAcentral. Lineage: Eukaryota; Metazoa; Chordata; Mammalia; Primates; Cebidae.
CUGGCAUCAUGCUUCGUGUACAGUCUACAGAACUUGACAUCAGUGAAUGGGCUGGUCUGGAUGGCUUCACUCAUAUUUCUGGUGCUUUGACAAGGAUGAUUAGAAGACUGGACUUAGUUGGGGCUGAAUCCUUCUUCUUCAACUUGGUGGACUGAUGGUGGGUAGACUUUUCAUCUUGAGGCUUGGGAAUCUAAAAGCAAAUAAGGCAGAACUGGUAUGCUAUUUUAUAAGUUAGCCUUGAACGUCACAUACUGUUGUUUCCAUUGUAUUCCACUGGUCAAAGCAGUUACAAUCACUCCCAAAUUAAAGGGGAUGUGACACAGAAUUCACAUAUCCAUGGGAUAUAUGUCAAGUUUUUCGUAGGUGUUAUAUUAAAGUGUAUUUCUUCUCCACCCCACCCCAGGAUCUAGUUGAUAUUCAGUGUUGGGGCCUGAUUAUAUGAACUCCAAAUGAAGAAAAAUCUUCCAUUUUUUUCAGAAAUAAGAACUCUAUGAAAAAACAACAUUAAAUUUUUCCUUGUGUACAACAGCUUGCAAAUUGACCCUUUUUAUGCCCAUUUAUUUCAAAAAAGUUACAUCUACUGCCUUCUGCUAUUUAUGACAGCGCUUGGAAACUGAGAAUCCAUUUCCUGAGACCAUGAGUCUGAGAGACUGGCUUCCCUAGAAAAAUAUAUCAACCAGUCCUUCAGAGAAUAUCUGAAAAGUCAGCUAGGAGCUUCCUGAACUAGUUAAGCAUUCUCCUGCUCAUAAAUGUCCAAUAUUAAUAGAGAUUAAUCAAGGACAGCAGACCCUGAGAAAAGACUGUUUCCAGGUGUGCAGAUGGUAUGCUGCCAAAGGCAAUCAAGGGAAUUAAUUAUGAGAAUGAUGAGCAGACUUAGACGGGAUCUGAGAUUGUGUGCACUGAUGGACACAUUGUUGUUAAAUACAAAUGAGGAAGAAAUAGGCUUCUUCUCUGGAA